UCUACUAAGAGUUUGAUCCUGGCUCAGGAUGAACGCUAGCGGCGUACCUAAAACAUGCAAGUCGCGCGCUUGUAAAAGCGCGGCAAACGGGUGAGUAACGCGUGGGAAUCUGCCCCGAACUGGGAAAUACCCCGCCGAAAGGUGGGUUAAUGUCCCAUAGUCUCCGCCUUUGGCGGAGUAAAGCUCCGGCGGUUCGGGAGGAGCCUGCGUCCUAUCAGCUUGUUGGUAGGGUAAAAGCCUACCAAGGCAAUGACGGGUAGGGGGUGUGAGAGCAUGGCCCCCCACAACGGCACUGAGACACGGGCCGUACACCUACGGGUGGCAGCAGUUAGGAAUAGUACGCAAUGGGCGAAAGCCUGACGUCGUGACGCCGCGUGGAGGAAGAAGGCCUCCGGGUUGUAAACUCCUUUUCUGCAGGAAGAUUAUGACUGUACUGCAGGAAUAAGCAUCGGCUAAUUACGUGCCAGAAGCCUCGGUAAUACGUGGGAUGCGAGCGUUAUCCGGAAUUAUUGGGCGUAAAGAGCGCGUAGGCGGCCAAGAAAGUCCGACCUUAAAACUAGCGGCUUAACCGCUAAGAUGGGUCGGAGACUUUUUGGCUUGAGCAUUUGCAGGGGCAAGCGGAAUCUGCGGUGUAGGGGUAAAAUCCAUUGAUAUCGCAGAGAACACCAAUGGCGAAGGCAGCUUGCUAGGCAUUGUCUGACGCUGAGGCGCGAAAGCGUGGGUAGCGAACGGGAUUAGAUACCCCGGUAGUCCACGCCGUAAACUAUGCGAACUAGGUAUUGGGAUAAUCGACCGUCCUGGUACCGAAGCUAACGCGUUAAGUUCGCCGCCUGGGGAGUACGAGCGCAAGCUUAAAACUCAAAGGAAUUGGCGGGGGCUCGCACAAGCGGUGGAACAUGGGGUUUAAUUCGACAGUAAGCGGAGAACCUCACCAAGGUUUGACAUCUACGGAAUCCCCGAGAAACCGGGGAGUGCCCGCAAGGGAGCCGUAAGACAGGUGCUGCACGGUCGUCGUCAGCUCGUGGCUUGAGUUGUUCCGUUAAGUCGGGAAACGAGCGCAACCCCUAUCGUCUGUUAAAUUUCUCAGGCGAGACUGCCUCGGCAACGGGGAGGAAGGUGGGGAUGACGUCAGAUCAGCGUGGCCUUUAUACCUUGGGCAACACCCGUGUUACAAUGGCCGUUACAGAGGGUCGCAAUAUCGCGAGAUGGAGCUAAUCCCCAAAAACGGUCCAAGUUCGGAUUGAAGUCUGCAAUUCGACUUCAUGAAGCCGGAAUCGCUAGUAACCGUGGAUCAGCUACGCCACGGUGAAUACGUUCUCGAGCCUUGCACACACCGCCCGUCAAGGCAGGAAAGCCGGCAAUGCCUGAAUCCCGCAUUUUGCGGGACACGGCAGGGUCGGUGAUCAGGCCUAAGUCGUAACAAGGUAUCCGUAGGGGAAUCUGCGGAUGGAUCACCUCCUUU
This 1462-nucleotide ribosomal RNA is filed under the name Candidatus Berkelbacteria bacterium. Its description in RNAcentral is "bacterial SSU rRNA". It matches the Rfam family "Bacterial small subunit ribosomal RNA". The record is from RNAcentral. Lineage: Bacteria; Candidatus Berkelbacteria.